AAAUUGUUGAAAGGGAAGCGCUUGUGACCAGACUUGCGCCGGGCGGCUCAUCAGGGGUUCUCCCCUGUGCACUCCGCCCGGCUCAGGCCAGCAUCGGUUCUCGUGGGAGGAUAAGAACGGUGGGAACGUGGCCCCCCCUCGGGGGGGUGUUAUAGCCCACCGUACGAUACUCUCGUGGGGACCGAGGUUCGCGCUCCGCAAGGAUGCUGGCGUAAUGGUCAUCAGCGACCCGUCUUGAAACACGGACCAAGGAGUCGUCCAUUAGAGCGAGCGUUUGGGUGUAAAACCCGCACGCGUAAUGAAAGUGAACGCAGGUGAGAGCUUCGGCGCAUCAUCGACCGAUCCUGAUGUCUUCGGAUGGAUUUGAGUAAGAGUUUUAACGGACGGACCCGAAAGACAGUGAACUAUGCUUGUAUAGGGUGAAGCCAGAGGAAACUCUGGUGGAGGCUCGCAGCGGUUCUGACGUGCAAAUCGAU
RNAcentral lists this ribosomal RNA (476 nucleotides) under Cytospora desmazieri. Its description in RNAcentral is "Valsa pini partial large subunit ribosomal RNA". It matches the Rfam family "Eukaryotic large subunit ribosomal RNA", at positions 402 to 902 of the family's 3401-position model. Lineage: Eukaryota; Fungi; Ascomycota; Sordariomycetes; Diaporthales; Cytosporaceae. The record is from RNAcentral.